AUGGAUCUCGAAAAGGAUGAAGAAGAACAAACUGAUCUCGAAGGGCCUGCAGAACCUACCCCUCCUAUGACAGCAAGGUCUUUGAAAGCAAAGGGGAAGAAAUCAAGCGCCUCGAAACCAAGCGCUUCGAAGAGGCAAAAGAAUUUCAGCAAGGCUGAAGACUUAACUUUGGUGGAUGCAUACCUUGAGAUAACUCAAGAUCCAAUCAUAGGAGUCGACCAAUCUCGUGAUUGUUAUUGGAAAAGAAUCGAUGCUUAUUUCCAUGCCAAUAAAUCUGAAGACCAUGGUCGCACACAAGGUUCUCUUCAGCAUCGUUGGGCUAUUAUUCAAGAACAAGUGAAUAGAUUUUGUGCAUGUUAUAGUCAGGUCCUGAAUAGGAACCAAAGUGGGAUGACACGUGAAAAUAAGCUAUGUCAAGCGAUUGUUCUCUAUGCCAAUGGAGACAAGGCAAAUAAAUCAUUUGGAUUGAUGCAUUGCUUUAAUAAGUUGGAAGACACCGAGAAGUGGAAAUCUCGCCCAAAAAAAAAACAGAAGACAUCCUCCUUGGAUACUCCUAAUUCAUCAUCUGCUAGUUUGUUUGAGGAUGAAGCUACAUCUCCCUCUAAAGUUGUCCCCAAGAAAAGGCCACCUGGAAUCAAGAGGGCUAAAGAUGCAACAUGGCGGGCUCAAAGUUCUUCCAGUACAGUUAAUAGUAGUGCCAUGGAAUAA
RNAcentral lists this ribosomal RNA (708 nucleotides) under Triticum aestivum (bread wheat). RNAcentral's name for it is "partial small subunit ribosomal RNA". The record is from RNAcentral. Lineage: Eukaryota; Viridiplantae; Streptophyta; Magnoliopsida; Poales; Poaceae.